AGGGGUAUAGCUCAGUUGGUAGAGCAGCGGUCUCCAAAACCGCGUGUCGAGCGUUCGAGCCGUUCUGCCCCUGCCA
This 76-nucleotide transfer RNA is filed under the name Clostridiales bacterium. Its description in RNAcentral is "tRNA-Trp". It matches the Rfam family "tRNA". From Rfam's summary of the family: Transfer RNA (tRNA) molecules are approximately 80 nucleotides in length. Their secondary structure includes four short double-helical elements and three loops (D, anti-codon, and T loops). RNAcentral also lists the same sequence under 1 other name. Lineage: Bacteria; Bacillati; Bacillota; Clostridia; Eubacteriales. The record is from RNAcentral.